Notolabrus celidotus (New Zealand spotty) is the source of this 399-nucleotide long non-coding RNA. RefSeq lists it as uncharacterized. The record is from RefSeq and is a predicted model, not a curated record. The transcript has 4 exons. Lineage: Eukaryota; Metazoa; Chordata; Actinopteri; Labriformes; Labridae.
GUUUAAAUUUUGAAUGAGUCCUAGUUUUCAAACCCCCUCUGCUUGAAUAAAUAAGCUGAACAUUUUCGACCAGAAAUCCAAUAAUGAAGAUUUUGCCUCAACCCUUGGGCCAGACUGUAGUGUAGUCAAGCUCAAGUGUUGAGGAAGGUGGUAGGAAGGCAACACUGCAGACGUCUCUUUUCCCAGAACUCUAUGUGGAGGAGAGAAUGGCUUCGGCCACAUCGACAGACCAUGGAAACUACCUGCAGACUGUACAGCUGCUCAUCAAGAAAAACAAGGAAGACCCCUGAUGUGGCUGUGUAUCAGCCACAGUGCAGGACACAGUGAUACCUUGGAUUGGAAUCAAAUAAAAGUCUGCCACACUCGCUCUCUAAUGGUGCUGGCUUGUCUGCAAAAUGU